Long non-coding RNA from Agrilus planipennis (emerald ash borer), 278 nucleotides. RefSeq lists it as uncharacterized. Lineage: Eukaryota; Metazoa; Arthropoda; Insecta; Coleoptera; Buprestidae. The transcript is spliced from 2 exons. The record is from RefSeq and is a predicted model, not a curated record.
UCGGGAUAUUUAUGAAGUAGAGGAAAGAGGGGAUAUUGCUUCUCAAGAUAUGGACGAUGGGGAAAAAGCUUUAGUUAGAGAAAUGUGUAAUGUUGUAUGGAGAAAAUUAGAAGAGGCACCCCCUCCACCAAGACGAUAACGCUAACAGUAAAUUAAUAUUUUUCCAGGAUUCAUAAAUUCUUGCCUUUUGGUGUAUAUAUUGAACGUUCAAAGUACGCAAAGUACACUUAUUUAUACGUUUAUUUUUAUAAAGUAUUUAAAUAAAAUAUUUUAAGCUC